This 3133-nucleotide long non-coding RNA is filed under the name Homo sapiens (human). Its description in RNAcentral is "HSALNT0098177". Lineage: Eukaryota; Metazoa; Chordata; Mammalia; Primates; Hominidae. The record is from RNAcentral.
UUUCUUUCUCUCUCUCUCUCUUUCUUUCUUUUUCUUUCUUUCUUUCUUCUCCUUCCUUCCUUCCUUCCUUCCUCUUUCUUUCUCUCUUUCUCUCUUUCUUUCUUACAGAGUUUUGCUCUUGUUGCCCAGGCUGGAGCGCAAUGGCGCAAUCUCGGCUCACCACAUCCUCUGCCUCCUGGGUUCAAGUGAUUCUCCUGCCUCAGCCUCCUUAGUAGCUGGGAUUACAGGCAUGCGCCACCACGCCCAGCUGAUUUUGUAUUUUUAGUAGAGACAGGGUUUCUCCUUGUUGGUCAGGCUGGUCUCAAACUCCCGACCUCAGGGGAUCCACCCACCUCGGCCUCCCAAAGUGCUGGGAUUAUGGGCAUGAGCCACUGUGCCCGGCCGGACUCCCAUUUCUGAAUUUGCUUGUCAGGUCUCAUAACAGAUCACUGGAAGGAAGAAGCAUAGCCUGAUCACCCAGCCUGAUUGAGGAUGAAAUGGAAAUCUAGGGGUCAGAAGAAAAUGGGAAAGGAACCAUCAGCCUCAGUCAUUUCAACAGAGCCAACCCACAGACCAUGACCAAGCAAAUCUUGCCAUCGUGAUCAUGACCAGUUAGCAUUUAGAAUGUAUCGCUGUAUGCUUUGAUGAUUUUGAUGCUGCCUUUUUGGAUUUACCCUAUAAGAAAGACUCCCUGAACUCCAACACUAUCUCCAGCAUUAUUCACAUUUUCAGGCAGUGUGGUCCCCCAGCUAACAGCAUUAGCACCAGCUCAGAGCUUGCUAGAAAUGCAAAUGCUUAGACCUACUGAGUCAGGAAUUUGGGGCACGGGCCCAGCAAUCUGUGUUUUACAAAACCUCCCAGGUUUGCUGACUUCAGAGGAUUGCCUUUGUGUAAUUUCGGCACAGUGGGAAGUGACAGAGUAUCAACAGUCAUACUUCUAGAAUGAGAGCGAACCUUGGCGCUACUUUCCUGCUGGGAACAUCAGUGGCUCCUCUCUGCCUGGAGGAGAGACAUUUCUUCAGCACCAGCUGCAUUCAGGAUGGUGCGUUAGUUCCUGUGAGAUGCUCAAAGAACAAAGGACGAGGCUCUGACAUGAUGCUGCGUCAAAACUACACAGAGAUUCUGGAGAGUAAGCUCUUGCCCUAGGGAACAGCUGGACAAGACCAUGGGUUUUUAUGUCCUUUUCUCCUGGGACCCACAUUCCAGAGGCAAUAACAUCUAUUGUUCCUGGGUUCUGAUCCUCAAUCUAUUGCUUUGUCAUCUUUCACUAGUGAUAACCCAGUCUGGGUGUAGAUAGAUAGAUAGAUAAAUAGAUAGAUAGAUAAUGUCCAGCUUUUCUAUUUACUCUUAGUGGGAGGGUUGCUCUAAGACAAGCUAUUCCAUCAUAGCUAGAACAGAAGAUGCAAACCCUGAUUUUUCAAUGCUGGCAAAGAAUCUAAUUUUUUUUUUUUUUUUUGAGAAAGAAUCUAAUUUUUAAAAUAUGUUGUGUGAUCCAACACUUAAAAGCCAAAUAAAACAUAUCUUUAGGCCACAGCCAGUUUUGGCCCACAGGCUGCCAACCUGUGACCUCUGGUGUAUUGGAAUGCAAGCGAGUAAGAGUUCUGCUUCAAUCGGGAGGCCUUGACUCUUAUGAUUUAUGUUUGUAGUGUGUAGAGUCCAGCUUUGAAGAGGACUGGACUCUCUUUGGUCAGCAACCAGAGUAUAGACAUCUGAAUCCACCUUCCCCCCGGCUUUCCCCCAAAUUGGUUUCUUAUUCCUGGGGACCCAAAAGAGAAAAGUGAUUGCAUGAGAUCAAUGAAAUAAGUACUGGGCCUGGAGUCAGAUUGGACCUAGGUUCUAAUCCUGAUUCUGCCACUUAUUAGUUACGUGACUUUGCAUAAGCCACUUAACUUGCUUUGGGUGUAAGUUUCUUGAAAUGUUGUUAAAAUUCCCUUCAUAGGAUUCAAAUUGUUGACAUAAUUUAAUAAUAAUGAGACUGUCCUGGGUAUGUGGCAGAUACCUAACACAUAUCAUGCUAGAGCCAGGUCCCACUUCCCAGGGAAUCCUCUUUUCUUUGGCCUCUCUUUCUCUUGCCCCUGUUCAGACCUGCAGGUCCUUUGAUCCAUUGUGUCUCCAACCCCAGAUCCUUUGGUCUUUGAAACAGGAGACGAAGAGGCAGCUCCUGUCUGCUCCCCACACUUAGUCACUGUAAUAUAUCCACCAGAGGAGUCAGGAGCUCCAGCCCAUAGGCCAUCAGAGCAGCAUAACUCCACCCUGGGCUGGUGUGAUUUAUUUCUGGGAAGGCUGGGGCUUGAAGAGAGGGGAGGUUUAAGAAUUAACUCCUCAUAAAACUUAAACAAGUAAAGAAGAGAAAGCAAUAGAGUCAUCUGGUGUCACUUUAGGCUCAUCAGCUUUCCAACUUUCCCCAACUUUGGAGAAAAGAAGACAUACUGAAUUGUUAAUUAAUGGGGCCUUCUAGAUGUUACGCGUGCAAGAUAAUAUGGGUAUCACACUGCCUCCAAUCACACAAUGCUGGCCAUAUAUUUUGCUGUUGUAGUUGUUUUAAACAAACAGAAAACUGUGAGGUCAGUGAUAAAGCAUUGAGAAACGCCCCAUGCCGUUUCUUUUGGGGUUCAGCCGUUUCUGAAAUCAAAGAACUGCAAGAUGAUUUAGAAACAUCUUCAGCCAAACCCAAACUGUUGACUGAUUUUGGGAAAAACCCUGAAAGCAAAUAUUCUACAUGCCAUAAGACUAAGAAGAGCUGAAGAAGCCAGCCAGAAUCUGUAGGCCUUAAGAAUAAAUAUUGGGCAGAGAUGGAGAAAGGAGAAAGUAUGGUGAAGAACAAUUAAUGUGGAUAAUUCAAAGACAUUGGACAAUCCAGAGGUCCUCAUUUGACCUGUGUUGCUAUAGUCUAAUGUUCUAGAUUUAAUUUAUAUGGUGUUUAAAGGCAAGAAUAAAAGACCAAAGAAAGGAGAGGCCUUUUUGAAGUGUCUCUGUUAAUUUUAUUAACCUGAAGAAGAAAUUAUUAAUUUGGUAGAAGGUGAACCUAUGUUCACCAGCCAGGUAAGGUUAAAAACUCAUUGAAUGCUCACAAAAGCCCCGGGAGGUCAUUGUUUCUUAUCUGAUCUGGUGCCAGCAAUGCCAGAAUUCAAACCCGCCUCUCUCCUGUGCUCCA